CUCGAUAGUCCACGAACACCAAACCUUCUUUUGCAUUUACAGCUUGUGUACUGCCGUUGUAAGCACACCUUUAAAAGAAAUAAGUAUGCUCCUAUGAUCAGACCGCUGACUCAAAAACAUCAGGUCAAAGUGCAGUUCAUAAGAAGGUGAUGAUGGGUUACAACCUAAAAAUAGACAAUAGAUUAAAAGAUAAAAAAUUUUAUGAAAACGGACUUGAAUGUAAUUUAUAGUUAUUAUAAGAAAAUGAAUUAUUAUCUAAGACAUGCACACAUCGCCCGUCACUCUACCCCAAAGGGUAGAUAAGUCGUAACAAAGUAGGUGUAAUGGAAAUUGCACCUGUCGAAAUAUAGCAUAUAAUAAUGCUUUUUACUUACACUAAAAAUAAGAUUCUGAUCUAUUUCGCAAACCACAAUAAAUCUUAAAACCAAGAUAUAAUAAAAACACUUAAAUACUACAUAAAAUAAAGUACAGAAAUGGAAAAAAUAAUUAACUACAGUAAGAUUUAAAAACUAUACCUUGUGCAUUAUGGUUUUACAAGAAAAUUAUUUACAACAUAUGACCCGAAUUCUUAAAUGAGAUGUUAUAUUACUGUUAAGAACCAAUUAAUAGCUGUCGCAAUAGCUUUAACAGAUAACCUAAUAGAGGCUACAUACCAAUCGCAUAAGAAUAUAGCUGGUUCUCAAUAAACAUUAUAUAUUAAAGCAUGUAAACAAGUUACAGUGUUAUAUUAUUGAGGACAAGCCCAAUAAUACAGAGCAAUUUACAUAAUUUAUACUCUUAUAAAACUUAUAGGCCUAAAACCAGCCAAAAAAAGUGCCUUACCGCAAUAAAUGAUGAGAAAAUAUAUAAAUAUUAGAUGCUACAAACAAUUGAGAUAAAAUUUUAAUUAAAUAAACUAUUUAUACUAUGUAAAAAUAAGUAUUAAUAAACAAAUAAAUAAAUAAAUAAAAAAAUAAAACAGACUAUACAUAAUAAUUAACUAAGGAACUAGGCAAACACUUAUUUCGACUGUUUAACAAAAACAUUGCCCUAUGUAACAACAUAUAGGGU
Molecule: ribosomal RNA, 1050 nt
Filed under: Megascolecidae sp. YN201745-02
Lineage: Eukaryota; Metazoa; Annelida; Clitellata; Crassiclitellata; Megascolecidae
Description: partial small subunit ribosomal RNA
Source: RNAcentral